Molecule: ribosomal RNA, 447 nt
Filed under: Triticum aestivum (bread wheat)
Lineage: Eukaryota; Viridiplantae; Streptophyta; Magnoliopsida; Poales; Poaceae
Description: partial small subunit ribosomal RNA
Source: RNAcentral
AUGGAGGUACAGCUCGAGGGGGAGGAAGAUGACUGGAAUUAUGACUCAUCCGACGAGGACUACAAGUAUGAUGAAGAUUCAGAUGGGCAGAUAGUGAAGAGGAAGAGCAAGUACCCAAGAUACAACAAUGACACUGAAAUACCACAUUUCAGUUUGUCGAUGGUGUUCAGAAGCAAGAACCAACUUUGCAAAGCUUUGAGAAGAUAUGGAAUAGUCACAAAAAGGAGUAUUGAGUUUUUAAAAUCAGAGUCAGAUAGAGUGAGGGCCGAGUGUGGAUGGCCUGGUUGUCCUUGGCUAUUAUAUGCAGCAAAAAAAAAUAGAACUUCAAGAAUGCAAGUGGUUACCUUCAAUGAUGAACAUCAUUGUGCUCAGAAUAGGCAAAACAAACUUGUGACUGCUAAAGUGAUUGCACAAAUAUAUGAACACUUCAUACUAGCUAACCCAAUG